Molecule: ribosomal RNA, 450 nt
Filed under: uncultured bacterium
Lineage: Bacteria
Description: partial 16S ribosomal RNA
Rfam family: Bacterial small subunit ribosomal RNA
Source: RNAcentral
GUGGGGAAUUUUGGACAAUGGGCGCAAGCCUGAUCCAGCAAUGCCGCGUGCAGGAAGAAGGCCUUCGGGUUGUAAACUGCUUUUGUACGGAACGAAAAGGCUCUGGUUAAUACCUGGGGCUCAUGACGGUACCGUAAGAAUAAGCACCGGCUAACUACGUGCCAGCAGCCGCGGUAAUACGUAGGGUGCAAGCGUUAAUCGGAAUUACUGGGCGUAAAGCGUGCGCAGGCGGUUUUGUAAGACAGACGUGAAAUCCCCGGGCUCAACCUGGGAAUGGCGUUUGUGACUGCAAAGCUGGAGUGCGGCAGAGGGGGAUGGAAUUCCGCGUGUAGCAGUGAAAUGCGUAGAUAUGCGGAGGAACACCGAUGGCGAAGGCAAUCCCCUGGGCCUGCACUGACGCUCAUGCACGAAAGCGUGGGGAGCAAACAGGAUUAGAAACCUUUGUAGUCC